AUUGAACGCUGGCGGCAGGCUUAACACAUGCAAGUCGAGCGGGGAAAGGUAGCUUGCUACCUGACCUAGCGGCGGACGGGUGAGUAAUGCUUAGGAAUCUGCCUAUUAGUGGGGGACAACAUCUCGAAAGGGAUGCUAAUACCGCAUACGUCCUACGGGAGAAAGCCGGGGACCUUCGGGCCUUGCGCUAAUAGAUGAGCCUAAGUCGGAUUAGCUAGUUGGUGGGGUAAAGGCCUACCAAGGCGACGAUCUGUAGCGGGUCUGAGAGGAUGAUCCGCCACACUGGGACUGAGACACGGCCCAGACUCCUACGGGAGGCAGCAGUGGGGAAUAUUGGACAAUGGGGGGAACCCUGAUCCAGCCAUGCCGCGUGUGUGAAGAAGGCCUUUUGGUUGUAAAGCACUUUAAGCGAGGAGGAGGCUACCGAGAUUAAUACUCUUGGAUAGUGGACGUUACUCGCAGAAUAAGCACCGGCUAACUCUGUG
This 485-nucleotide ribosomal RNA is filed under the name uncultured bacterium. RNAcentral's name for it is "partial 16S ribosomal RNA". It matches the Rfam family "Bacterial small subunit ribosomal RNA", at positions 30 to 507 of the family's 1533-position model. The record is from RNAcentral.